This 26-nucleotide non-coding RNA is filed under the name Cricetulus griseus (Chinese hamster). The record is from RNAcentral. Lineage: Eukaryota; Metazoa; Chordata; Mammalia; Rodentia; Cricetidae.
UACCAUAUGGGUGCUAGGAACUGAAC